GCGCGGUUAGCUCAGGGGUAGAGCACAUCGUUCACACCGAUGGGGUCAUUGGUUCAAAUCCAAUACCGCGCACCA
This 75-nucleotide transfer RNA is filed under the name Verrucomicrobiales bacterium. Its description in RNAcentral is "tRNA-Val". It matches the Rfam family "tRNA". From Rfam's summary of the family: Transfer RNA (tRNA) molecules are approximately 80 nucleotides in length. Their secondary structure includes four short double-helical elements and three loops (D, anti-codon, and T loops). Further hydrogen bonds mediate the characteristic L-shaped molecular structure. tRNAs have two regions of fundamental functional importance: the anti-codon, which is responsible for specific mRNA codon recognition, and the 3' end, to which the tRNAs corresponding amino acid is attached (by aminoacyl-tRNA synthetases). tRNAs cope with the degeneracy of the genetic code in two manners: having more than one tRNA (with a specific anti-codon) for a particular amino acid; and 'wobble' base-pairing, i.e. permitting non-standard base-pairing at the 3rd anti-codon position. RNAcentral also lists the same sequence under 1 other name. The record is from RNAcentral. Lineage: Bacteria; Pseudomonadati; Verrucomicrobiota; Verrucomicrobiia; Verrucomicrobiales.